CAAAAUUUAACAUAUAUAAAUGUGUCUCACUUACAUUGAGAAAAUAAUUAAAUGCUAAUUAAUUUUGA
Molecule: transfer RNA, 68 nt
Filed under: Sepiadarium kochi
Lineage: Eukaryota; Metazoa; Mollusca; Cephalopoda; Sepiida; Sepiadariidae
Description: tRNA-Val
Source: RNAcentral